This 531-nucleotide ribosomal RNA is filed under the name uncultured bacterium. RNAcentral's name for it is "bacterial SSU rRNA". It matches the Rfam family "Bacterial small subunit ribosomal RNA", at positions 313 to 844 of the family's 1533-position model. The record is from RNAcentral.
UUGGAACUGAGACACGGUCCAAACUCCUACGGGAGGCAGCAGUGAGGAAUAUUGGUCAAUGGACGAGAGUCUGAACCAGCCAAGUAGCGUGAAGGAUGAAGGUUCUAUGGAUUGUAAACUUCUUUUAUACGGGAAUAAACGGAUCCACGUGUGGAUUUUUGCAUGUACCGUAUGAAUAAGGAUCGGCUAACUCCGUGCCAGCAGCCGCGGUAAUACGGAGGAUCCGAGCGUUAUCCGGAUUUAUUGGGUUUAAAGGGAGCGUAGAUGGGUUGUUAAGUCAGUUGUGAAAGUUCGCGGCUCAACCGUAAAAUUGCAAUUGAUACUGGCAGUCUUGAGUACAGUUGAGGUAGGCGGAAUUCGUGGUGUAGCGGUGAAAUGCUUAGAUAUCACGAAGAACUCCGAUUGCGAAGGCAGCUUACUAACCUGUAACUGACAUUGAUGCUCGAAAGUGUGGGUAUCAAACAGGAUUAGAUACCCUGGUAGUCCACACGGUAAACGAUGAAUACUCGCUGUAGGCGAUAUACAGUCUGC